CAGAUAUUUAGACCCAACUUUCAUGGAUUUCAUCAUCCCUUCACCACAUACUUCUUUCCUCAUACAAUUCACCUGAGCAACAUGUAACUACUCAAUGCAAACACAAAUAGGGUGAACAAUCUGGCUGGUCUUACAGGUACAAAGUCAGAGAUCGGGUGCUCAAAGUCGAGCUCCUUUACAAACUCAGACUGAAGCCAUCAAAGACAGUGCUGUAGAGAUGAUCUGAUUGGUCGCUGUUACUGGGAAACGGA
Molecule: long non-coding RNA, 251 nt
Organism: Scomber japonicus (chub mackerel)
Lineage: Eukaryota; Metazoa; Chordata; Actinopteri; Scombriformes; Scombridae
Exons: 3
Source: RefSeq, a predicted model, not a curated record